AAGACUCAAAGUACCAUGAGCAGGCCUGGAUUCUGGGACUGUAAGGCCUCAGUUCCAGCCUUUUUUAUGAGUCUCUGUUUGUCUCUGUGUCUGUAGUCUGUCUGGCUGUUUGGUCACAGAGGAAGGCUGUUCUUCUCUGGCCUCAGCUCUGAGCUCCUCCUGUCUGACAAAGCUAGACCUGAGCUACAAUCAUCCAGGAGAAGGAGGAGAGAAACUACUGUCUGCUCUACAGAAGGAUCCACACUGCAGACUGGAGACACUGAGGCUGGACCAUGGUGGACAGCACAGACUGAAACCAGGUCUAAAGAAGUAUGCCUGUGAGCUGGAAGUGGACACAAACACAGUGAACAGAAGACUCAAACUGUCUGACAACAACAGGACGGUGACAUGUGUGGAGG
This is a long non-coding RNA of Cheilinus undulatus (humphead wrasse), 398 nucleotides long. RefSeq lists it as uncharacterized. The record is from RefSeq and is a predicted model, not a curated record. NCBI's taxonomy places the organism in Eukaryota, Metazoa, Chordata, Actinopteri, Labriformes, Labridae. The transcript has 3 exons.